GGAUAUGGUGAGAGACAGCAACGAUCCACCGUCGGCGACGGAGCCGCGGUAGCGGUGGCGGUGCAUUUGUUCCGCCGAACGAUGAUGGCGUCAUGGCCGACGACGACACUGGCCGUCGGAGCCACACCGGCGGCGUCAACCAUGAUGGUGGUGAUGUUCUGUUGGAUAAUGUUCAACACCAGAUGAUGGUUCGAGUUUUGAUGCAGAUUGGGUUCAGCUUCAUGUUUGGGUCAGUGCGGUUCGGGAGUUCGGUUCAAGUCGGGUCUCGGUUCGGUCAAAGCAGUCAACGAAAGUCAAUACAAGUCAACCGGACAAGCUCAGUGAACCGUCGAGUCAACUGGUCAAAUCCAGCCAACUCGGUCAACUCAGUUCGGUGUUCGGGUCAAGGUUUAGUUCAACUCGGUUUGACUCGAUCAAACCGAGUAAACUCAGUCAACGACUUGGUUAACAGCGGUCAAACAGGUCAAACGCGGUUAACUUAGGACCCGGUAAAGUUUAAACGUAACAAAAUAUUUAUUACGUGGCUUAGAGUUUUAGAUUACGUGAACCAAGCUCGAACCAUAGUGCCAUAGUUUAUACGUUAGUGAUUACUUACGAUUUUUGCAUUUCGACGAAAACUAUAUAUAUUUGACUACAAUGCGUUGGAUUA
Long non-coding RNA from Helianthus annuus (common sunflower), 649 nucleotides. RefSeq lists it as uncharacterized. The transcript is spliced from 2 exons. NCBI's taxonomy places the organism in Eukaryota, Viridiplantae, Streptophyta, Magnoliopsida, Asterales, Asteraceae. The record is from RefSeq and is a predicted model, not a curated record.